UGCCAGCAGCCGCGGUAACACGUAGGGGGCAAGCGUUGUCCGGAUUUAUUGGGCGUAAAGAGCUCGUAGGUGGCUGAGUAAGUCGGAUGUCAAAUCCCCAGGCUCAACCUGGGACACCACCCGAUACUGCUCUGGCUAGAGUCCGGUAGGGGAGCGUGGAAUUUCUGGUGUAGCGGUGAAAUGCGCAGAUAUCAGAAGGAACACCAGCGGCGAAGGCGGCGCUCUGGGCCGGUACUGACGCUGAGGAGCGAAAGCGUGGGGAGCGAACAGGAUUAGAUA
Molecule: ribosomal RNA, 279 nt
Filed under: uncultured bacterium
Lineage: Bacteria
Description: partial 16S ribosomal RNA
Rfam family: Bacterial small subunit ribosomal RNA
Source: RNAcentral